ACUGCGGAGGGACAUUACACAAAUAUGAAGGCGGGCUGGAACCUCUCGGGGUUACAGCCUUGCUGAAUUAUUCACCCUUGUCUUUUGCGUACUUCUUGUUUCCUUGGUGGGUUCGCCCACCACUAGGACAAACAUAAACCUUUUGUAAUUGCAAUCAGCGUCAGUAACAAAUUAAUAAUUACAACUUUCAACAACGGAUCUCUUGGUUCUGGCAUCGAUGAAGAACGCAGCGAAAUGCGAUAAGUAGUGUGAAUUGCAGAAUUCAGUGAAUCAUCGAAUCUUUGAACGCACAUUGCGCCCUUUGGUAUUCCAAAGGGCAUGCCUGUUCGAGCGUCAUUUGUACCCUCAAGCUUUGCUUGGUGUUGGGCGUCUUGUCUCUAGCUUUGCUGGAGACUCGCCUUAAAGUAAUUGGCAGCCGGCCUACUGGUUUCGGAGCGCAGCACAAGUCGCACUCUCUAUCAGCAAAGGUCUAGCAUCCAUUAAGCCUUUUUUUCAACUUUUGACCUCGGAUCAGGUAGGGAUACCCGCUGAACUUAAGCAUAUCAAUAAGCCGGGAGGA
RNAcentral lists this ribosomal RNA (559 nucleotides) under Alternaria sp. JM-1. RNAcentral describes it as "eukaryotic LSU rRNA". The stretch from base 183 to 336 matches the Rfam family "5.8S ribosomal RNA". Lineage: Eukaryota; Fungi; Ascomycota; Dothideomycetes; Pleosporales; Pleosporaceae. The record is from RNAcentral.